AGAGUUUGAUCCUGGCUCAGGAUGAACGCUGGCGGCGUGCUUAACACAUGCAAGUCGAACGGGAAUUACUUUAUUGAAACUUCGGUCGAUUUAAUUUAAUUCUAGUGGCGGACGGGUGAGUAACGCGUGGGUAACCUGCCUUGUACAGGGGGAUAACAGUCAGAAAUGACUGCUAAUACCGCAUAAGCGCACAGGACCGCAUGGUCCGGUGUGAAAAACUCCGGUGGUAUAAGAUGGACCCGCGUUGGAUUAGCUGGUUGGUGAGGUAACGGCCCACCAAGGCGACGAUCCAUAGCCGGCCUGAGAGGGUGAACGGCCACAUUGGGACUGAGACACGGCCCAGACUCCUACGGGAGGCAGCAGUGGGGAAUAUUGCACAAUGGGGGAAACCCUGAUGCAGCGACGCCGCGUGAAGGAAGAAGUAUCUCGGUAUGUAAACUUCUAUCAGCAGGGAAGAAAAUGACGGUACCUGACUAAGAAGCCCCGGCUAACUACGUGCCAGCAGCCGCGGU
Molecule: ribosomal RNA, 512 nt
Filed under: uncultured bacterium
Lineage: Bacteria
Description: bacterial SSU rRNA
Rfam family: Bacterial small subunit ribosomal RNA
Source: RNAcentral